Long non-coding RNA from Mesocricetus auratus (golden hamster), 10977 nucleotides. RefSeq lists it as uncharacterized. The record is from RefSeq and is a predicted model, not a curated record. The transcript has 2 exons. NCBI's taxonomy places the organism in Eukaryota, Metazoa, Chordata, Mammalia, Rodentia, Cricetidae.
CCAUAUACGUCUUUAGUCAUGCCUAAAGUGGGUGUGGUUAGUGGUGUGGUAAACCGCCCUUUUAUUACUUCAUCUGUAUGCGCCUCUAGUAAGUCACAUGGUUAAUGGCGGCAUACAGGCUUUCCCCUACAGGUCAUUGUUGUCUUCCUUAAAAAUUCCUAGUUAAUGGUCCACCAGUGAGAUGGUUCAGUAUGUAAGGGGCCUUGCUUCUCAUCCUAAUGAUCUGAAUUUGACCCUUGGGGCCCACAUAUGAGAAGCAGUGAAUCCACUGACCUAUAUAAGGGCUCCAUGUCCUGAGUCAAGCAGAUGCACACAUAUACACUUAGAAAAUAAGAAGUAAAUAAAAUAAUUUAAAAAGAAUGUAUCUCAAAACUUUUUUUCUUUACAAAAGAGAAAACUCUGAAAUUUCAGGAAAACAUGCCAAAAGUUUUUGUUUAAUUUUUCUCUCUUCCUGUGUUCUGAUUUGUCUUUGGAGAUUUCUCUACUUAACCAUACUAACUUAGCAUUCUCACCAUCAGGAGUGUUUUCUGAAUACAAAGUCUUUGCAAGAUCCCACCAUGUAGGAACUGGUUUGAUGGUGCUCUGAGUUCUGGAAUCCAUCUUUUUCCAAGGUUGACUACAUGAUGUUGGGCAAAGCAAGGGCAUUCCUGAGGUCUGCUUUAGAUGUAAGUUGCUAAAAAUAUGUGUAUUGGGGCCAGUUCAAGAACUUUGUUUCCAUUUUUGUUUGCCUAAUUGGACAGAUUUUAGACAAAAGGAUUUGUACCAUGCUUCUUUGUCAUCUGCUGUGUAUAGCAGCUGAACUGUUUUUUUUUUUUUUUUUUGCUAUAAGUCAAUCUUAGAGGAUCCUUUUCUGUAGAUUUUGGGGAGAUGUUUGAAGCUAAAUACCAUUAUAGCUUCUUGUCAGCAGCUAAACUGAUGAAAGACUAAGGUCUAUUAGACUUGACAAAGAUGUGACUUACAUAUUCAAGAGAAAUUGAAUCUUGUUUAUAAAAGAUCGGAUGAUGCAAUAGGCAUAGAGUAACAUUGGGGAUAGUGUAGGUCAGAUCUAAAUUUCUGCUGGGUGACAGUUUUCAGAUGGGAAACUUGGGAAUAAUGCCAUCAUGGGAAUAUUGGUUUUCAUAAAUCUUAGUACUUUUAUUAGGAUAUUUUCUUUAAUAAGGUGUAAGAUAAAAGUCGUUUUAAUCUUAUUGUGUCUUUAGCAUGAGCUUCAAAGUAAUGUCAAACUCUUAGUAUGUAAAUUUUUAUUUCUCCUAAAAGUACAAUAUAAAGUCAAGGAAAGUUUUUGAUAAGGCAUAAUAAACAUGAAGUCUAUUAUGUAAAAGUAGACUUGUAAUCAUAUGGUGACAUUUUAAAGGUUCUUCUAUGUCAGAACUUCCUAACAUUUCCUUUGAGACUAACAAUACAGCUUGCAUGCCUUGCAUUGUGUGUGGAAAGAAAAUAGAUUCAAAUGAUUUCUCCAUUUUUACUCCCUAGGUCACUGGUGUUUGAAACUAAACAGAUUUGUUGAGUUAUAUGAUAUUGUUGUCAUUGUAUACAUGAGAUAACAGACAUAGGGACAUUUUUUCUUUGACAACAUAAAUUAUGACAGCUGACAAAUAUAUUAACACAUGAUUAAAAGGUUGAUGGUAAAGGACAGAGGACAUAGGUCAUUAUGAACAUGUGCUAAGCAUAGGUGAGGUGAGUUCACAAAGGUUUCUUAGUACCACUUGCACACAAAAGGAGAAAGUAGGGUGCUGUUACCUGUCUGCAUCUGUUAACAGGAGUAUCUGCAUUUUAAUGACUGGGAAGGAAACAGUUCAAGAGAACACCACGAACAGCAAUUAAGUCAGUAUUUUCUGACUCUUCUCUUCUGGCUCUAUGGCCAUGGCAGGAAAUCUGCCCUCUCCAUUGUUGUUAUCUAACUUGGAGUGCAUAUACAGAAUUCAUUUACAGUAAGUUCUUUUCAGUAAGUGGUGAAUUCUGAAUGUGCCCAGAUGCCCAUUCUUCUAACAGACCAGCAAUCAUCUGCAUGCUUUGAUUGGUAGACAUUGUUGAGGUCAUGGUAUUAAAAGAUCGAUGGCACCAUCAUUGCUUUGGAAUCGGUGUGUCUGAUGAAGGUCGCAGCCACAUGCACAGUUCUACCAAACUUAUGCUCAGAGUCACUCAGAUCAGUGUUUAGAUUUGCUUUAUCAUUUAUACAGAUGGAGAUUGUUGCAGCAUUUACAUCUUCACAUUCAAAACGUCAGCCUCUUUCAUUUUUAUUUGAAUUUAAAAAAUUAUUUUCUAUUUAUUUUCAAAUAAUUGAAGGAAAUAGUUGUUCAUGAUAUCUUCCAAAAUUCAAUUUCCUUAGUAAUGCCAUUGAUAGGACAAUGUACUUAAAUGCUUGCUUUAGGAUUAAGGAUAAUUUGUAUAAUGCCAGAAAUAGCAAUAAUAAUUCAGCACAUAGUCUUUUAUCCAAUUUAUGAAAAGCAUGCUGCCUUAAUGUAAUUUCCUAACUGGAAAUGCAGAUAGAGUAAUCUAAUUAAGUUGGAAUCUUAAAGUCACAAAGACAGAAUUGUCUGGAAGUGUAUUUGAAGGGAUUCAUGUCUCAAAUGCCAAGCAGACAUGUGUGAAUUCACAAAAACCAUUGGCUUUGCAUCUUUUUACUUAAAGAAUAUUAGUUUCAUUUAUGUAUGUUUUAUACACACUUGAAUAUUCAAGAAACCCUCAAGUUUGAAAUAGCAAAUGCCCAGAUUCAUACUUAUUCAUAUUUUUGGUAUAGCCAUGCCUAGUUAAUGAUAGGCAAAUAAGAAGUUGCCAUUGUCAAAUAUGACAUUGUUUUUAAAUAAUGUAAUUACGUUUUUAAGUAACAAAUAUGAUAGCAGUAUUUUAUGAAAAAAUGAGUAUUACAAAGUUCCUAUGUUCCAAUUUAAUAAAAUUCAUUCAUUUGCAAAUUCAUAUUAGACAAGAAUACUUAAUACUUGCCCAAAUCUAGGUAUACAUAAAAUUUCCUAAAUAGGUGGAGGUAUAUAUUUAUAAAUACAAUUUUAAGCAAUAAAUUUGAGAGAUGUGUCUGUUGCAAAAGAAAUAUUUUGUCUUAAAUCUUCUGACCUUCCAUUCCUCAAAACCAGUGUAGAGAAAAAAUGACAGUAGGGUCCAUUGAUAGAUAAAUUGCCCUCCCUGAUCUCCACUCUUUGGGAGACAAGUAGCAGGCUGGCCUUGAACUCAUGAUCUUUCUGUCUGCACCUGCUGUUUGUAGUAUUGCAUGCUUGACUAAGUAGCAUUUUUUAAAAUGUAGUAUAAUUCUUCCAAUGAGUGCUGAAAUAUUGUUCCAAACAGGGAAGGUUAUUUUCCAGUAGAAAUACAGACACAAACUGGAAAUGAAUAAACUGGCACAGCUUCUCAGAGUCAUUUUAUAUCACCAUUCCUGCCAGUGUUCUUACCCUAAUGGUUGAAUGAUAAUUUCAAGUAUACUGUGUUAAAUUCUGUUAUUUCUGCCAUGAGGAAGUAUUGAAUGAAGUAUAUGUCUCUUUCCCAUUGGGACCUUGAGAUUAAAACUGUCAUUCUUCCAGAUAAAACAUCCUCUCAGGAAAGAACCCCCCCAAAUAAUUUAUUAUUUCUAGCUUGUCUCUUCUACUGUUCUUCAUUUGGAGUUUACUUCCAGUAUGUGAAAUUUUGAGAUUUCUCAAUAUCCUUUUGCAUGUAUAUUCUAUGAAUUGAAUAUUUUUCUCUAGCAGAGACAUUUAAGCUGAGUGAAAAAUGAAUUUUCAUAGAACAAAAUUGCCAAGCAUAUGUGCCUGAACUGUAGGGAAGAGGCGUACAACUUUAAUCUGCAAAAAUGCUUAAAAAUAGCUCUAUGGUGGCUAUGUAUGAGGCCUGAAAACCGACAUUUCUCAUUUUGGCAGCAUUCACCUACAGGCUCCUAUCUGCACCAGAACACAUUCAUCCCGGGGAAAAUGAUUAAUGAGCUGCCUCUCAUCUCUGCUUCUUUUGUACGGAGUAGUGGAGGCUUCAGUUGAUGAUACUCUAGCCAUCAGCAUUCUUACUGAGACCGAAUCUGCCACUACAGAGUUGUGCUAGGACAAUACGCAUCUCAAAAAAAAAAAUUACAACAUUAACGAUAACAAGGCCUUUUCUUGGUUACUGUCCUGUCAAGCAGGUUUUGUUGUUUUCCUUCCGGGAGCAGUAUAAAAUCUUACGUUCUUGACAAUAUCUGAGGACUUCCAGUUCUUUUUCUGAACUUUCUGAUACUGGUCUUGCUUCUUAGCCCAGAAUUCCUCCUACCUCAGUAUUCUGGAUCCUGGGAAUGCAGAUGUGUGCCAUUAUGCCUGGCCUGUUCUUUUUGUUAGUCACUGGCAUGUUGUAGACUUGCAGAUGUAUCCAUGGUGAGCAAUACAACUGCCAAAUUAUCUUAGACUGACAUGUGAUUGUCAGAUACUCUUGUAUUUGAGCAAGCAGAUGUUGGAAGAAAGGAUAAGAAAGGACAUUGAGCUGUCAGGACAAAGUGGACUACAUUCUAAAGUAGAUGGCAGAAAAUGUGGGUCUACAUAGCCUAUGAAAAUAGGACAGCUUGUGGUUUUGGUAAAAGAUACAUACAAGGAAAAGGAAUGGGGCUUAGAACUUGUAUUUUAGCAUCUCUACCUCUGGUAUUGUCAUCAUUCUGAAUUUAAACUGCUCUCUCAUUUACUUGUAGCUCCCAGUUUGCCCAAUCCGCUUAUAUUUCCUCUGUUCCUUUCUCCGAAUUUUCUAAGACCAAUUGUUUAUCCUACCUCUGAGUAAGGUUCACCCAGCUCAAGUGCAUAUGCCCCCAGAGCCAAGACUGAUUUUGCAGGGAGUGAAACCAUCCCUAUACUUAAUGAUUCUUUCCAGAGUCUAGCAGUUAGGUGGUGGUGGGUGGUGCUGAGUGCUUUUUAAGAAGCAGCUAGGAAAGGCUGUUUUGAGCAUUGCUAGAGGGCAUUUUUACCCAAUAUUGAUUAGAUAGCCAUUUUCUUGUAUUUGGCUAAGUGGGCAGAAAGGGAUUCGUAGUAAGAAGCAGCAUUGAAGUGGUAAGAAAAAAAGAGGAAGGUGGGUGGAUUUCUACAAGAUUUUUCCCUUUAUCUUUUCAAUUCUCCGGUAAGAAUUAGUACUCUUUUCAGCUGGCUAGGCCAAGCUUUGCCUGUUUUAACUGUUGGGUGAUGAGUAAGCAAUGAACACAGCCUUCUCUGUGCUUGAUUCAAGUAGCUUAUCAUUCACACUUUUUCUCAGACCCCGCUGCAGCACAGCAUUCUAGUCAGCAGCUGCCAACUGAUAGUUCAUCUGUUGUCCAUUUUUAACUCAACCACUUAAUUGGAGUCUGAAUAAUAGGACCGACAAGAUUAUAAAUAAAGUAGAAGAAAAAGGGUCAUUCUGGGAAGCAUUCUAAUUGGGUAGUAAACUAGAAUUAGGUCUGUGGUCUAGAUUGAAGUCUGGCACUCUUCUAUUUGUCAUUUUGUCUGUUUUCUUUAAGGGUGUGGCCCUGGUAGAUUCACCAUGCUCCAGUGGAUGGCCCCACUCCCAAGAACUCUAUGGGAUGUUAAAAAAAAUAAAUAAACGUCCCCCAGUCCACUGUCAAAAGAAACAGGACCUGAAGUCCAGAACCAGGUUGAGACUGAUGUCUCAGUUUGAGAGAUUGUUAUACAUACAAAGUGAAUAGCAGUCAGAUUGAGCAUAAUCUUGCAUAAAUAGACACGUUAUAAAAUAUUGCUGUGAAACUAAUAUCUUAAAGCCCUAUAUAAAUGGAAUCUUUAUUUGCAUGAUUAUGCCAUAUGAAAAGUUAUGAAGGCCAGAUGUGGUAGUAUAUGCCUAUAAUGCAGCAGUCAGAUGUGAAGGCAGGAGAAUUAUAAGUCUGAGGCCAGCCUAAGCUACACAGUGAAAACCUGUCUUAAGAAAAUAAAAAGACAAAAAUAACUCAGAAAUUAUCCUUUAGAAAAGUUUCCAAAUACCAUAAAAGUUUAUAUAAUCUUGUGCCUAAAUUUUUUAUCAAUAUAGUUAGAUGUUUUGCCUAAAGCAAGGGAUCUGUCUUUAGUUUUCAUACAGUGGUUUAGCUAUUUUAGCAACAUUCCCUUUUCAUUUUAAAGUCUGCUGUCUUAGUUUUGCCUUUGCAGACAAGAUUACAGAAUUGCAGUAAAACAGAAAGAUCCUCUAAGCAGGUUACAGUAUAUUUGAAAAUAUACAAAGGCUUGAGAGAGAAAAGAGAAAGGGUAUUGACAGUCAUAAAAUAUAUUUUAAAAAUUAUAGUAGUUAAUCAAACUUAUAGUCAUUUUAGGUAUGUUUUUAAGGUUAUACAGAUGUAUAUUUUAGAUAGAAGGUAUUUUAAAAUACUUUAACAACCUAAGGCUUUUUGUGACAGUGAGACACGUCUGCUCCUGACAGCACCAAUCUACUUCAAAAGAGGAAUGAUGAGUAUCAAUAAACCUCUGUAUGGAGUUCACUUGCUUUAUGGCAAAAGAUAGCCAUUUCAGCAAAUGCACCCUUUCCUCAACUGCUGACAGUAUACUGUCCAAACUGGAUCUUGGACCAGCAGGAUACACACACACACACACACACACACACACACACACACACACACACACACAAACAACAAAAACGAAAAACAAAACAAAAUCCCAAAACGAAAACCAAAACUGUCAAACUUUGUCAAGAUAAGGUGGGCUAGUCCUUCAAAAUUCUCUGCUUCUCAAAAAAGUCUGUCAGAUAUACUAAUUUGGAUAUGGAUGUCCCAACAUGACAAAAGAACUAUGAAUGACUUAACCCUGCCAUGCAGCUUAGUUUGUGAUAUGCUGGUGGGGCUUGCUCUGGAGACUCAAGCCUGCAGGCAGCAGCUAGUAGACAUCUGUACCAUGGCCCAUGUAAAGGACUGUGUUUGACUUCAUUUUGUGUGUGUGUGUUUAGAACCUUUUCUUAAGCAUUUUUAGGUUUUAUGUGGAUAUAUGUGGCCUUACCCCAUGUUGGAAUGCCAUUUGUAGACAGAAUUUUCCAUCUAGACCACUAUCAGCUCUCCUGCCAGCUGCUCCCCAAAUAACCACAUGGAGAUUUAGUACUAAUUAUAAAUGCUCCGUCAAUAACUUUGGCUUGUUUUUUAGCUCGCUCUUAUAACUUAAGUUAACCCAUUUCUAUUAAUCUAUGAGCUGCCCUGAGACUUGUUUACCUGAAGUUUUUUUCUUGAGUCUGGCUCACGACUCCUGACUCCACCUUCUUCCAGUAUUCUCUCUGCCCCCAAAAUCCUAUCUAGUUAUCGGAUUAUCAGCUUUUUAUUAAAAAUGAGAACAAUACAUCUUCACAGUAUAUAGAAGGAUUAUUCCACAACAGCACCAAAUGAUAUCUUAAACUUACAAAUUUUUUUUUUCUGAGUAGCUUUUCCUUUGAGCUUUCAGUUGGGUCACAGAACACAGGAGUAUUGUACUUGUUUAUUUGAACACACCUCAUUUUAAAAGUUCAAAUGUUCUCAUAAUGUAUUUUCACUGGAUUGUUUAAAAUAUAUCCUUAAGUUUACACCUCAGAGUUUAGAUCAUAUGAUGAAAGACCGAGGGAAAAUGGCAACACAGAACCAGUUUUAUUUUCUGGAGAAGUAAUUUUACUUCUUUAAGAAGGAAUAAGGCAGGCUAUUAGUGCUAAUUUUAGCAGAGUGGUCCUGUGAAAACCAAGGACAAUAAAUCACACCAUUUUAUCUCCACUGGUAACUAAGUUUACAUUUGGGAAAGUCACUGUAUUAGUUCAUCAUGAGAAAACAGGGAAAGACUUUUAAUCUCAUUUUUUUUGAAAAUAAGAACAGUAUAAAUGUCAUAUUUAAUCCCAACUUGUUUUCAUAAUUUAUAUGUACUAUUGGAAGUGAAGCAAACUGCCCAGAGGCCCAGUCCUUUUAGGUCACUGGUUUCCAGUAGAAAAAUAAGUCUACAAAAAUCUGCUGGUUUGGAAGCAAUGGCUCCUAAUUACUUCUGCUUCUUCUCUAAUUCUCCAGUAUGUUCAUCUGGAAAACAUUUAGUCAUUUCUAAGGAAAUUCCAAAAUGAGGCAAUCCCUGGUCCACUGUCUGCCUUGCAUAAAAGGUCAACUACAUGGCCAACUAAACCAAAACAUUUCUGAGACAUAUGGAAGAAAUAAUUUGCUAAAAGUAACUCUGAUCAUUUCAAAGGGCAGAUGAAGCUCUUAAAUAAGUGUAUUCAGUUAUCAGGCUUAGUGUUUUAAUGUAAUUUAAAGCCUCUCAAAAGCAAAAGAAAUAUUACAAUGUUUCAGUGAAAUGUGCUGUUUCUAUUUGUCUUAAAUUCACUUGACACUAUUUGACUAGUUAUGUAUGCAGUUGAACUAAUGAAAAUGAGCAUUGGUAUCUUAUACCUAGACAGUGCAUAAUGUAAUAGUAUUAACUUUUAAUUAAUAAUUAUCCAUCAACAAAGAGCUUCCUGAUUAUUAAGUUUUAAAAAUCCAGGUAACAAGGUAUACAAUUUUUCUACUCAGUAGAACUAUUAUUAAAUAAGAUUUAUUACCUUAACAUUUUAUGAUGUGAGAUUUUCUUGAGUAAUAAUUCAAACUGUGAAAAAUGAAGUUGCUUGGAAAAUGAGACUUGGAAAAUAGUUAAGUCAGUGCUAAGUAUGGCACUGACCUAAACUCUUGCUCUAGUCAUCUGUAUUUUCUUCCAAAUUGUGGCAUUCGUUUGAUAACUGCUUUCAAGUUUUCUGAUCUGUAUUUGCUCACCCAAAGAAACAAUCAUGUUGUAACAGAAUUUUUUAAUAUGCAGAAACCAGUGUAUUUCAGACUACAUGUUUUAAAAUGAUGAAUUACAAUACAUCUUAAUUUCCUGUUAGUAUUUUGUAAUAUGAAAGCAGAAGCAAUAUUAACUGCAAUUUUAAUCCUUGCAAUCAAGAGGAACAUAAUAUAUUAUAACUUGUUCAGAGCCUACAAUUCUGGUCUUAAUUAGCCAUCUCAUAUAUAACCCCAUCCUAUACAUCAAAUGGAGUCAUAAGAAACACAAAAGGCUUACAUCAAGCCAACAUCAGUAUCAGAAAGUAACUCAAAACAUGUGUUUUAGUGAUAUUCUAGGUCUCACACCAUCUUCAUAGGAGAGGCAACUUGAUGGCAUUAAGAUUAGCUUUAUCUUCAUAACAGAUAAGAAUAAAAUUCCAAGUGAAUUAGAUAAAGGAAGAAACUAAAUAGAAGUUUCACAAAGUAAAACUGUAUCUGGCAGAUUGAGAGUAUUUCUUUGAAACCUUGGAUCAAUUGAAUGCUAGCUAGUUAGUAAGAUAAGACACCUUGAGAGUAUACUAGCUGCUGUAGACAGAUUUCAGACUUUUAUGUGUAUCUUCAGUAAUUAGACGAGAACUUACCACCAAGUAUUUGUGGAAAGACAAUGGAUAUUAUAUUAAUAUAUUAAAAAUACAACCUCCAAAUUCUAUACAUUUACUAAUAACACUAGUUUGUUACUCAAGAGCAUUAAGCCCAAGAAAAGAUGCUUUCUGAUUUGUGUAUAAUUUUAUAUUGGAAAAAAAAACCUGAAGCUACACAGAACUACCACUUAAGGAAACCAUUAAAUUCUGAUAUUCCUUGUAAAAUUUCAAAUUUGAAUGUAUCAGUUAAGACUAUUACACUUCCAGAGAUGGUAUUUUUUUUACAAUGUUUUGUGUUAUCUCCUUUCUAUGUUUCUUACUUUUAUAGUUUUUAAAAGACAUAAUUGUGCCAUAUUAUAAAUGAAUGUAUUGAAACUAUCCUUUGCCUACCUUGAUAUUCUAUAGUCAACCAAAAUUUACUGAGUACUUUCUUGGAGUAAAAAAUUAACAUGUAAACAAUGUGGAAUAUGCUUUUGGCACAAUGAAAAUAUCCUAAGAUUGAGUAUGGUCAGCAAUUCUACACACACGAAAAAAAUCAUUGAAUUAUAUGCUCGAAAUAGGUGAACUGUAUGAUUUGUGAAUAAUACUUCAGUGAAAUCACUGCAGGAAAAAAUCUGGAAAGGUGGCAGUUCAGACAACAUUCCUUCAGUUGGUAGGCUGAUGGGACACCAUGGUAUACAUGGGAAGCAGCUCAGACAUGGCAGAGUUUAGCUACAGCCUCAUGCCAUUAGAACAAAGGACUCACUCAACAGGAAGCAGGGCCCUAGGCUGACUUAGCACAAUUUUUAGGACACUCUCAUUUGACAACACCGGGUUGGUUAACACAGAACUGGAGACUGACCCCUUCUCUAGUAUAUAAGACAAAACUUACUAGAAAUGGCUGAUGUCCCUCGUUUUCAACAUUCAUUUCUUAUAAUAAAAGGCUUUACCAUAACCAGCUAUGGUAAUGUUCUUUAAGUAAUCUGUAGAUUAUUUAAGGGCUAUAAAAACAUGAAAUUGAAGAUAAUAAAAUUAUACUGACCAAAAUAGUUGACAGCUUAAAGAUUUUGGCUCAUGGUUUCAGAAAGUCCAGCCUAUGGUCACAUGGCUCCCUAUCUGCGGACUCAUGGUUUGGCAGAACAUCACAGCAGCAGGAACUUGUGGAGGAGGAGGAUGCUCAUGGUAGACAAGAAGAGAAGGACCAGAGGCCAGGUCAUCCCCUUCCAAGCUGUGCUCCUAGUAACCUACUUAAUCUAGAUCUUUCCAAAAUAGAGCCCUAAAUGGGGAUCAGAUGCUUACCGCAUGAAUCUGUAGGGUAAUUUCAUAUUCAAAUGAUAACAUUGCACAUGUGACUAUAAAAAGAUCAUGGGCAUUUAAAGGCCAAAAUUCAGUUUGGCAAAGGUUAAAUUCUUGCAAUUUCAGAGGUGGCAUUUGUGGCUUGAUGUGGGAGUGUUAAUAGGUUGGGGCAGUUCUACCCUGAUGGCCUUGCCCAUUGUAGUCCAUGUGACCUCUCUUAGGUUGGCUCUACUUGUUGCCUAUAGUUUUCCUUUGCAGACAUUGAGAUUGCUUGUUUCUGGCAUCUUUAACACCCGAGACUCCAGUGCAGCUGAAGUUUCAUGUAUCACACUACCUGCAGGGACUUUGACUCAAAAACACUGUCUAGACUUCCAAGCUUUCCUUUAAAUAAAGGUGGAAUCCUUCAUGGCA